UGCAAACGUUGCUCGGAAUUAUUGGGCGUAAAGCGCGCGUAGGCGGCUACUUAAGUCGGAUGUGAAAGCCCUUGGCUCAACUGAGGAAGUGCACCCGAAACUGAGUGGCUAGAGUACGAAAGAGGGUCGCGGAAUUCCCGGUGUAGAGGUGAAAUUCGUAGAUAUCGGGAGGAACACCGGUGGCGAAGGCGGCGACCUGGGUCGAUACUGACGCUGAUGCGCGAAAGCGUGGGGAGCAAACAGG
Molecule: ribosomal RNA, 244 nt
Filed under: uncultured bacterium
Lineage: Bacteria
Description: partial 16S ribosomal RNA
Rfam family: Bacterial small subunit ribosomal RNA
Source: RNAcentral